CCUACGGGAGGCAGCAGUGGGGAAUAUUGCACAAUGGGGGAAACCCUGAUGCAGCGACGCCGCGUGAGUGAAGAAGUAUUUCGGUACGUAAAGCUCUAUCAGCAGGGAAGAAAAUGACGGUACCUGACUAAGAAGCCCCGGCUAACUACGUGCCAGCAGCCGCGGUAAUCCGGAGGGGGCAAGCGUUAUCCGGAUGUACUGGUUGUAAAGGGAGCGUAGAGGGCAGCGCAAGUAUGGAGUGAAAUCUCAUGGCUUAACCAUGGAACUGCUUUGGAAACUGGGCAGUUGGAGUGCAAGAGAGAGAAGCGGAAUUCCAGGGGUAGCGGUGAAAUGCGGAGAGAUUAGGAGGAACACCAGAGGCGAAGGCGGCUUAUUGGACUUUAACUGACGUUGAGGCUCGAAAGCGUGGGGAGCAAACAGGAUUAGAUACCCUAGUAGUC
This 440-nucleotide ribosomal RNA is filed under the name uncultured bacterium. RNAcentral's name for it is "partial 16S ribosomal RNA". It matches the Rfam family "Bacterial small subunit ribosomal RNA", at positions 338 to 795 of the family's 1533-position model. The record is from RNAcentral.